CCUACGGGUGGCAGCAGUGGGGGAUAUUGCUCAAUGGGCGAAACCCUGAUGCAGCGACGCCGCGUGAGGGAAGAAGGUCUUCGGAUUGUAAACCUCUGUCUUUGGGGAAGAAGAUGACGGUAUCCAAAGAGGAAGCUCUGGCUAACUACGUGCCAGCAGCCGCGGUAAUACGUAGGGAGCGAGCGUUGUGCGGAAUUACUGGGGGUAAAGGGAGCGUAGGCGGGGAUGCAAGUUGGAUGUUUAAACUAGCGGCUCAACCGGUAAUUGCAACCAAAACUGCAACUCUUGAGUGAAGUAGAGGCAGGCGGAAUUCCUAGUGUAGCGGUGAAAUGCGUAGAUAUUAGGAGGAACACCAGUGGCGAAGGCGACCUGCUGGGCUUUAACUGACGCUGAGGCUCGAAAGCGUGGGGAGCAAACAGGAUUAGAUACCCCUGUAGUC
Molecule: ribosomal RNA, 439 nt
Filed under: uncultured bacterium
Lineage: Bacteria
Description: partial 16S ribosomal RNA
Rfam family: Bacterial small subunit ribosomal RNA
Source: RNAcentral